This 460-nucleotide ribosomal RNA is filed under the name uncultured Uliginosibacterium sp. RNAcentral describes it as "bacterial SSU rRNA". It matches the Rfam family "Bacterial small subunit ribosomal RNA", at positions 920 to 1382 of the family's 1533-position model. The record is from RNAcentral. Lineage: Bacteria; Pseudomonadati; Pseudomonadota; Betaproteobacteria; Rhodocyclales; Zoogloeaceae.
CCCGCACAAGCGGUGGAGCAUGUGGUUUAAUUCGACGCUACGCGAAGACCUUACCUGGGCUUGACAUGUAAGUGGUAAGAACCGAAGGGGAUGACUUGGGGAAACUCCUUGAGCUUACACAGGUGCUGCAUGGCUGUCGUCAGCUCGUGCCGUGAGGUGUUGGGUUAAGUCCCGCAACGAGCGCAACCCUUAUCAUUAGUUGCUACGCAAGGGCACUCUAAUGAGACUGCCGGUGACAAACCGGAGGAAGGUGGGGAUGACGUCAAGUCCUCAUGGCCCUUAUGGGUAGGGCUUCACACGUCAUACAAUGGUCGGUACAGAGGGUUGCCAAGCCGCGAGGUGGAGCCAAUCCCAGAAAGCCGAUCGUAGUCCGGAUUGGAGUCUGCAACUCGACUCCAUGAAGGCGGAAUCGCUAGUAACCGCGAAUCAGCAGGUCGCGGUGAAUACGUUCCCGGGUCUU